AAGUCGUAACAAGGUAACCGUAGGUGAACCUGCGGUUGGAUCAUUAACAAUUAUUAUUGAGCCUCCCUCCCUGGGCGGGUAGGUUCUCUAACACUUGUGUGCACUGUUUAUUGUCUCUCGGCGUUCGAGGGUUGGGUAGCAGAGCUUGCUCUGAUGCCCUUGGGCUUUACGGCCUUGAUCUACCCUUGAGCGCCAACCUAAAACUUGAUUUUGUAUUUAUACUCUAAGCCUUUAAUUUUAAAUUUAUAAUUUGAAAACAACUUUUAACAACGGAUCUCUAGGCUCUCA
RNAcentral lists this unclassified non-coding RNA (288 nucleotides) under fungal sp. RNAcentral describes it as "partial internal transcribed spacer region". The stretch from base 1 to 46 matches the Rfam family "Eukaryotic small subunit ribosomal RNA", at positions 1786 to 1831 of the family's 1831-position model. Lineage: Eukaryota; Fungi. The record is from RNAcentral.